CGGGGGAUGCCUGCCGUCGACACGCUUGAACUUUGUUUUUCCUGUGCAUUAUUCUAGGUGAGCAAAGAUUCAGGUGUGUUGACUAACUCUCUCAUCAG
Tribolium castaneum (red flour beetle) is the source of this 98-nucleotide non-coding RNA. RefSeq annotates it as microRNA mir-87b. The transcript has a single exon. The record is from RefSeq and is marked provisional. NCBI's taxonomy places the organism in Eukaryota, Metazoa, Arthropoda, Insecta, Coleoptera, Tenebrionidae.